RNAcentral lists this ribosomal RNA (223 nucleotides) under uncultured bacterium. RNAcentral's name for it is "partial 16S ribosomal RNA". It matches the Rfam family "Bacterial small subunit ribosomal RNA", at positions 943 to 1167 of the family's 1533-position model. The record is from RNAcentral.
GGUUUAAUUCGAAGCAACGCGAAGAACCUUACCAAGUCUUGACAUCCCGAUGACAAGCUAUGUAAUGUAGCCUCUCUUCGGAGCAUCGGUGACAGGUGGUGCAUGGUUGUCGUCAGCUCGUGUCGUGAGAUGUUGGGUUAAGUCCCGCAACGAGCGCAACCCCUGUUCUUAGUAGCCAGCGGUUCGGCCGGGCACUCUAGGGAGACUGCAGGGAUAACCUGGA